GGGGGUGUGGUGAAAUGGUAUCACAAGGGUCUCCAAAACCCUUGUCGUGGGUUCGAUUCCUACCACCCCUGCCA
RNAcentral lists this transfer RNA (74 nucleotides) under Parcubacteria group bacterium CG10_big_fil_rev_8_21_14_0_10_36_14. RNAcentral's name for it is "tRNA-Trp". It matches the Rfam family "tRNA". From Rfam's summary of the family: Transfer RNA (tRNA) molecules are approximately 80 nucleotides in length. Their secondary structure includes four short double-helical elements and three loops (D, anti-codon, and T loops). The record is from RNAcentral.